AGACGGGAUCGGGACCUAACCCAGCCAAUACGAUGACAGGUAAAACCCGAACUGUAUGCACUAGUAUACAUGCCCCAGGUAUGGAAAAUGAAUAUCCGGAUAAGUCCGGGCAAGGAUUCAAGCACGGUACAAAAAAGCCGGAACCCAAAUUCGUGCCCCUUUUAUUAAUCAGUUAAAAAAUAUAAAUAUAAAAUUACAAACCCAAAAUCCAAAUUAAACUCUAAAUCCGUAUUACAUACCGAAACAAGCACGCCACUUCAGUGCAGACGCUCCUGUAGCUCUAAUGCUCCAAGCCAGUACCCACCACGGCACACCUCCACGAACCUCUCUCUGCGCGUCGGCAUCAUCGCUUCUCAUUUCUUAGCUGCUGGCCUUGGUGUGCGAAUUCUCUCUAUUCUCCAUCAUCAAUUCUUCACUGUCACAACUCACUUUCUUAGCCUACAGUCGCGUUCGUGCAGCCAUCUCUACUCCACCAUCACAACCACGAGGCAUUGACUUUUUUUCCAGCUUUAAAAAAAAAAUGAUGAAAUUAUUAUUAUUAGGUGUUAUGCAUUAUGUUUUUCUUGGAUGCUAUGCUUAGAUGUAGAGGUGGCAAAAAUACUCGCCUGGUCCGGAUCUGGACCGUACCCGGGUAUUGUGGGUCGGGUAUUAUUUAGUUCGGGUACGAAGCCGGGUCGAUCUUGGGUAUCACUUGAUAAACUCGGAACUUAGAUUUUAUUAAAAAAAUAUUAUAAAAUAUAUAUUAUUUUAAAUAUUUAUAUUUAUUUGACUCAUUUAUUAGACAUAUAUAAAGUUUUAAACACUUAAAGUUUAUAUUUUCAUGUCAAAUUUUAUUGAAAUAAAUUUAAAACUUAUAAAAUUACCAAAAAAUAAAAAAUAUAUACACAUAUAAUAUUAAAAAAUAUAAAAUUCAGGUACCCGGAUUAAAACCCGGCCCGGACUCGAAUCCGGACUGAUUGCAUCCGGGCAGGGUUUGGUCAUUGCAAUACCCGAACCCGGCCCGGGGUUUUGCCAUCCCUACUUAGAUGAUUAUUUUUUAUAAUAAUAAACAUAUGUAAUAGGAGCUGAAUUAGGCUACUUUUAACUAUUAAAUUAAUUUGUUACAUAAUUAUUAUAAUUACAUAGUUUAUUAUAUAAUAUUUGUUAUGUAAUAUUUUUGUUGGGGAGGAGGUAAUUUUAGAUGAUGAUGAUGAUGGGCCACAAUCAUUGAGCAGCAUGACAUAAAGUUGUGAUUUACUUAUUUUACAUGUAUUUUAGAAUCUUUUAUUAAUUAUUUUGCCAAUUGUUAGAUAUUUUGAGAUUUUCAUAUGUUAUAUUAGUAAUUGGUAUCAUGAUUAUAAAUUAUGAUAUGUUGGAUAUUAUCGUUAUUUAGAUUUAUUUGUGAUUAUUGUGUUGUUGAAUUUAAAUUUUUGAUUAAAAUUGAAUGAAUUUAGGUUAGAAAUUGAAUGCAUUUAGGUAAUAAAAAGUAGAUUGAAUUUUUUUUUUUAUUUACUAUUUGUGUAAAAUUUGCACUAUUACAAGUUUUUUUUGUUCAGUUUGAAUCAGGGAUGGCAAAAUCCGGGUCCGGUUCCGGGUUCGGCCUUCCCGGUUCCGGACCCGGAUGUCAUUUUCUUUUUACCGGACCCGCAUAUAACCCGGAUUUUUUACAUGCGGGUCCGGUCCGGGUUCAACCCGGAAAAAUUAAGGGUUCCGGAUUCCGGGUUUGAAACCCGGAUUGUCUUUUGAAUUAUGAUUAAAAAAUGAAAAAAAAAAUUGGAAACUACAAUUCAAUCACAAAUUAAAACCGAUUAACCUUUUUUUUCCGUGAAAUUCAGGCAGGUACACAAGAUAGAUCUUAAUAUGAAGGCGUUGCAAAUACUACCAACAAAAUUCAAUAAAUUAAUAACCUAAUAUAGGAAGUGGAUGCACGAAAAUUACAAUUAAUUUUGAAUUGUAAUGGCAUCAAAGACCGUGGCCCACCCAAAUCCACCAUGCAAUGCCAUCAAAGACAGCCCCCACCAUGGAAUAUGACAAACAAGAAGCACAGGCGGGCUUAGAGGUGGAAGCUAAUCCAGGCGAUUUUGCAACAGUUGAACAAUUGAGAAGGAAUGGUGGUCGCAGCAGUGCAGAGAAGAGGAACACAGCAACUGAUGAUGAUAAUGAACACAGAGAAGAGAAAAUGGCCGAAGUGAUGACGACGACGACUUGAUUUGAUGAAGAGAAAAGGAAAUAUGGUUGGCGGCCGGCGGAUGUGAGAUUUGAGAAGAGGAAUGCGAAUUGCAAAAUUAGGGCCGGCUGUGCGCAUUAUUAUUUCCUUCCUUUCUUUUCUAUUUAUAUUAAAAAUUAUUAAAAAUUUAAUAUUAAAAUGAAAGAUAUCCGGGUCCGGGUUUCGGAUAUGCGGGUUCACCUAAACCCUGACCCGGACCGGAUAUCAUCCGGGUUCAUAAAAUCAAAUCCGGAUCCGCAUUUUAUAUAACUGCAAUACGGGUUCAACCCGGACCGGAUUAUCCGGGUUCGUCCGGGUCCGAUCCGGGUCCGGGUUAUUCUGCCAUCCCUAGUUUGAAUAUGCGGGUAGGAGAACCCCGGCUUAAAAAUCCGUGUUUGG
RNAcentral lists this long non-coding RNA (2584 nucleotides) under Citrus x clementina. Its description in RNAcentral is "Citrus clementina (C. clementina) long non-coding RNA (CCLE_LNC000925)". Lineage: Eukaryota; Viridiplantae; Streptophyta; Magnoliopsida; Sapindales; Rutaceae. The record is from RNAcentral.